This is a long non-coding RNA of Oxyura jamaicensis (ruddy duck), 155 nucleotides long. RefSeq lists it as uncharacterized. The record is from RefSeq and is a predicted model, not a curated record. NCBI's taxonomy places the organism in Eukaryota, Metazoa, Chordata, Aves, Anseriformes, Anatidae. The transcript is spliced from 3 exons.
ACAGGAACUCAACUCAAGGACAUUAGAAUUCUUACUAAGAAAUACAAGAAUAUAGUUCUCACAGAAGAACAAAGAUUGUUAAGGAAAAUUUUUCCAUUUUACAUAAUAAAAGACAGACAACAACAAAGAAGGGGGCCUUUUUUUUUUUUUUUAAU